RNAcentral lists this ribosomal RNA (402 nucleotides) under bacterium. RNAcentral's name for it is "partial 16S ribosomal RNA". It matches the Rfam family "Bacterial small subunit ribosomal RNA", at positions 355 to 776 of the family's 1533-position model. The record is from RNAcentral.
UGGGGAAUUUUGCACAAUGGGGGAAACCCUGAUGCAGCGACGCCGCGUGAUUUAGAAGGCCUUCGGGUUGUAAAAAUCUUUUCUAUGGGAAGAAAAUGACAGUACCAUAGGAAUAAGGACCGGCUAAUUACGUGCCAGCAGCCGCGGUAAUACGUAAGGUCCGAGCGUUGUCCGGAAUCAUUGGGCGUAAAGGGUACGUAGGCGGGUAACCAAGUUAGAAGUGAAAUCCUAUAGCUCAACUAUAGUAAGCUUUUAAAACUGCUCAUCUUGAGGUAUGGAAGGGAAAGUGGAAUUCCUAGUGUAGCGGUGAAAUGCGCAGAUAUUAGGAGGAAUACCGGUGGCGAAGGCGACUUUCUGGCCAUAACCUGACGCUGAGGUACGAAAGCGUGGGUAGCAAACAGG